This 253-nucleotide ribosomal RNA is filed under the name uncultured bacterium. Its description in RNAcentral is "partial 16S ribosomal RNA". It matches the Rfam family "Bacterial small subunit ribosomal RNA", at positions 524 to 776 of the family's 1533-position model. The record is from RNAcentral.
UACGUGGGUGGCAAGCGUUGUCCGGAUUUACUGGGCGUAAAGAGCGCGCAGGCGGUCGUUCAAGUCGCGUGUGAAAGCCCCCGGCUCAACUGGGGAGGGUCACGCGAUACUGAUCGACUCGAAGGCAGGAGAGGGAAGUGGAAUUCCCGGUGUAGUGGUGAAAUGCGUAGAUAUCGGGAGGAACACCAGUGGCGAAGGCGGUUGCCUGGAGCUUUGCUGACGCUGAGGCGCGAAAGCGUGGGGAGCGAUCCGG